This is a long non-coding RNA of Pseudophryne corroboree (corroboree frog), 654 nucleotides long. RefSeq lists it as uncharacterized. The record is from RefSeq and is a predicted model, not a curated record. NCBI's taxonomy places the organism in Eukaryota, Metazoa, Chordata, Amphibia, Anura, Myobatrachidae. The transcript is spliced from 2 exons.
AGGUGAGAGAAAUCUGCAUGGAACUUUCCCCACGCAAGCCACUCUCCUGGCAAAGCAAAGCUCUCAUGGCAUUACAGGAGGCAGCUGAGGCCUACUUGGUCCGUCUAUUCCAAGAUGCCACCCUGUGCACUAUCCACGCCAAGAGGGUCACUCUACAAGUCGCUGAUAUUCAGCUUGCACAGCGGAUUAGAGGGAUCCAAGACGGGCUGUGAUAAACUGAAACACUUUUUUAUGACCUUGAAGAUUUACAGGUUCCCCACGUUUUACAGUUGUUAUUAAACAAGUUGAUCUGCUUAGUUGCUUUUAAUACCCAGAUUUUACAGUGUGGGAGGAGGUAAUUUGUUGUGUACUCAUGUUACAGCAUGUGAUGUUUCUGACCUACGUGGUUCUUUGUCACUCUGACAUUAACAAUCUCCAUGAUUCUUUUAUGCUUUAUAUGCAAAUAGUUGUAUUUGUAUAGUUGACAAUAUGCAAAUAGUAUGCAAAUAAUUGUAUUUGUAUAGUUGACCACAUGCAAAUCGUAUGCAAAUAGUUGUAUUUGUAUAGUUGACAAUAUGCAAAUAGUAUGCAAAUAGUUGUGUUUGUAUAGUUGACCAUAUGCAAAUAGUUGUAUUUGUAUAGUUGACAAUAAAACUGAUUUAGUCUUUCAAAAAA